RNAcentral lists this ribosomal RNA (392 nucleotides) under Telema cucurbitina complex sp. Cave_num9. Its description in RNAcentral is "partial 16S ribosomal RNA". Lineage: Eukaryota; Metazoa; Arthropoda; Arachnida; Araneae; Telemidae. The record is from RNAcentral.
UAGCCGCAAUAUUUUGUGCUAAGGUAGCAUAAUCAUUAGUUCACUAAUUAUGAAAUAGAAUGAAUGAUCACACGAAUAAAUUAAUUUCUCUAUUAUUUUUUAAAAAAUUCAUCUUAAAGUUAAAAAGCUUUAUUUUCUAAGAAGGACAACAAGACCCUAAUGAACUUCAUUUUAAAUUUAACUGGGGCGGUUUUAAAGAAUAUCUUCAACUCUUAUUUUUAUCAAACCAAAAUAAUUGAUUUUUCCAAGUUACCAUAGGGAUAACAGCAUAAUAAUUUUUUUAAGCUCUUAUAUAAAAAUAUUUUUAUGACCUCGAUGUUGAAUUAAAUCCCUAAUCUAAGCAAGAUUAGAAAGAUAAGGAAGUCUGUUCGACUUUUAAUUUUUUACAUGAU